Molecule: long non-coding RNA, 259 nt
Organism: Portunus trituberculatus (swimming crab)
Lineage: Eukaryota; Metazoa; Arthropoda; Malacostraca; Decapoda; Portunidae
Exons: 2
Source: RefSeq, a predicted model, not a curated record
AGCAGCUCCUCCUCCACCUCCACCGCGAGAGGAUAAGCGCAUAAGAACUAGUGUGGGUGCAGGAGGACGACACGUGGCAGCCCCACAAACACUCGCCCCAGACCCCCUCUUGGUCCAGAAUCUUUAUAACAAACGCGUGUUGUGGGUUCAGGAGAGGAAGUUUUUCUUCAGAGGACGAACCAAAUACAUUAAAAAUAUUUUGCAGUUUUACUUCAUACAGAUCUAUUCAUCAGCAUCAUCAUUAAACCCUUGAAAACCA